AGUGCUGAUGUGUGUGUUUCCAUCAUCAUUCAGCUUUGCCAAACCAAAGUCAGAAAUUUU
RNAcentral lists this small RNA (60 nucleotides) under Arabidopsis thaliana (thale cress). RNAcentral describes it as "ATSL004810". Lineage: Eukaryota; Viridiplantae; Streptophyta; Magnoliopsida; Brassicales; Brassicaceae. The record is from RNAcentral.